Perognathus longimembris pacificus (Pacific pocket mouse) is the source of this 178-nucleotide long non-coding RNA. RefSeq lists it as uncharacterized. The transcript has 3 exons. NCBI's taxonomy places the organism in Eukaryota, Metazoa, Chordata, Mammalia, Rodentia, Heteromyidae. The record is from RefSeq and is a predicted model, not a curated record.
CCUUUGGCUAAAUACCCAAAAGCAGGGUUGCUGGGUCAUAGUGGAGCUCUAUGUUUACCCUUUUGAGGAAUCUCCAUUCUGCUUUCCUGACUGAUUGAACAAGUUUACACUCACAUUAACAGUGUAGUAGUGCUCCCUUUUAACCACAUCCCCUCCAGAAUCUCUUGAAACUUAUUUU